ACACCCUUGAACAGGAACCUUUAGUGGAGGGCAGGAUAGGGGUUUAACAAGGAUCCACUGCCCUCUGGCAUCAACCUUCCAGGGAGGGGCGGCCACUUCCCCCGACUCAGGGCAGAGGGGCACUCCUUCACCUCCUUUCCCUGACUUUCCAUGGCCCUGGGGGUGCAGGGGUGAGGCUGUGAAAACGUGACCCAUGGGGGAGGGGAGUACUGAGGCCUGGACCCUCCCAGAUUCCUCCAGGAGUUCGAAACUGCUAAAACCCAGUGCCACCAGCCACCAACACUAGCUGAAACCAUCUCUUGGGGACCAUCCACCCAGCCAGGGGAGGAUCCCGAGAGCUCCCCCCACGAAUCCACCCCCAUGCACUCAUAGAGGCCCCCGCACCCACCUCGGAGGCAACCCCUCACCUCGGCAACCCCUCUGCUGUCUUCUCCCUUUCUCAGCGGGCACUUCCAGGCCCCAUAGGUCUGUAGCUCUGUCCAGCGAGUUCAAGGCUGGCCCUGCUAGCACCUCCCCCCUUCCACCACCACCACCAAAAAGAAAAAUAAGAUAAAGCACACACAUACAUACACACACACACACACACACACACACACACUCCUCUCCCGUCCUCCCUCUUCAGUGUAAGCAGUGGCUGCCCCAGCCCGCUGUUUCCGGCUUCUCCUUCUACCCAGGUCCCUCCCUGGAGCUCUGACGACACAGAGAAGAGAAAGUGGGCUGGAGGAGGAAGAGGAAGAAAGUGGGGUGAAUAUGUGUGCCUCCUGUGCCGAGUGGGGGAACACGUGGGGGAUCAGGACUGGGGUCCAGGCCUUGGAGCCAGGCUUGGGGGGAGGCUGACCCCCACUUACUCUGUCCCCCUCAAAAGCAUCAGCUUUUCUCCAGAAAGUCACCCAAUAUCAAACAGAGAUUUGCCACCCCUAACUGCCUGGCUCCCAAACUCAAACUCUGCCAAGGGCUGGGGUUUGGACCCACAAGGGACUGGGCUCCCCAGGGCCUCAGGAAAAGUAAAUCCCUCUGGACUCUGCGCUCCCUCCAGUGGAGGACCCUAAAAAGCCGCCAGGGAGCUCGAUGCCAGCCAACUCCUAGGUCCCCCUCCCUUCCGGCAGGGAACGCCUUAGAGGGCACCCCUCCUGAGACUGUGGUGGGAACCAGCACAAGCCGGAGCUGCUGCCUGCAGAUUCACAAGGGGCAAGUUUGAAUACGAAUCUGCUGUGUUCCUAUCUGCCAAGUUCCUAUAUGUUUCUGGGGUAAACACUGAGACACGCCAAGAAACAAACACACACAUGCACAACUUCCCUGACCACAAGACUACACACACACACACACACACACACACACACACGUGCAGGCAGGCUCACAAACAGAGCCCAUUGCAAUCACAACACCACACACACACACACACACACACACACACACACACACACACAGUCUUGCUCAACUUCUGAGUCAUCAACAUAACUAGUGGAGGGUUCUGCAGUUUUUGCUGGGGGAGGAGCUGGAGGAGACCAAGGGAUCCAGAGAGGCCUUUACUCCCGGACACCUGAGAGCCCCGGUGUGUGGAAGAGGUGGUGUCUGAGGGGCGGUGGGAGGAAGUUUCUACUCCCCUCCUCCCUCCCAUAGCAGGGGCUGGGCUGAGGGGCCAAAGCUAGGCCUAUGCUGCCCCCUGGUGCCUGAAUUGAUUUCCAGAACCAGCUCCUCCUCCUCCAUCCCUUGCUACCCCGCAGGUCUGUACAUGAGUGCACGUGUGUGGACCCAGCCAGGCAGCAGAGGGUUUGAACACAGCAAAAUAUAGCAGUUAAAAGACUGGACUGUGGAUACAGGCUGCUUGGGUUCAAAUCCUGCUAAUGCUGCUAACCACACAACCCUGAGCAAUUUACUCUGUGAUUCAUUCUCGUCAUCUGUAAAAUGGAGCAAAUAAGUCUUAACCCAUAAUGUGAGAAUAAAAUGCAGUAAAACAUCUGAAGGCUUAGAACAAUGCCUGACACACAGUAACUGUCAGGCACUAUUUUUAUGGUUCAUAAUAAACCAGGUAUGAGGAAAGGA
Molecule: long non-coding RNA, 2043 nt
Organism: Homo sapiens (human)
Lineage: Eukaryota; Metazoa; Chordata; Mammalia; Primates; Hominidae
Exons: 2
Source: RefSeq, a predicted model, not a curated record